Molecule: ribosomal RNA, 478 nt
Filed under: uncultured organism
Description: partial 16S ribosomal RNA
Rfam family: Bacterial small subunit ribosomal RNA
Source: RNAcentral
CGUACACUCCUGCGGGAGGCAGCAGUGGGGAAUAUUGCACAAUGGGCGCAAGCCUGAUGCAGCCAUGCCGCGUGUAUGAAGAAGGCCUUCGGGUUGUAAAGUACUUUCAGCGGGGAGGAAGGCGAUAAGGUUAAUAACCUUGUCGAUUGACGUUACCCGCAGAAGAAGCACCGGCUAACUCCGUGCCAGCAGCCGCGGUAAUACGGAGGGUGCAAGCGUUAAUCGGAAUUACUGGGCGUAAAGCGCACGCAGGCGGUCUGUCAAGUCGGAUGUGAAAUCCCCGGGCUCAACCUGGGAACUGCAUUCGAAACUGGCAGGCUAGAGUCUUGUAGAGGGGGGUAGAAUUCCAGGUGUAGCGGUGAAAUGCGUAGAGAUCUGGAGGAAUACCGGUGGCGAAGGCGGCCCCCUGGACAAAGACUGACGCUCAGGUGCGAAAGCGUGGGGAGCAAACAGGAUUAGAAACCCCAGUAGUCCCAUG